Long non-coding RNA from Lathyrus oleraceus (garden pea), 804 nucleotides. RefSeq lists it as uncharacterized. Lineage: Eukaryota; Viridiplantae; Streptophyta; Magnoliopsida; Fabales; Fabaceae. The record is from RefSeq and is a predicted model, not a curated record. The transcript is spliced from 2 exons.
CGAGUAGCCAAGAGAGAGUGGAGGCACGAAGAAAAAAUCAUUUCACGUUUUCCUUGUUUUCAUCGUGUCUCAGUUCUCUCUCUCUCCCUCGUGAGUUUGCUCCGCCGCGUCGGAGCUGGUCUGAAAUGAACAUCAACCCCCACCAUUUUGUUCGUCUUCUUCCAUUCUAUCAAAUUCUAACCUUCAAUUACUCUAAAACUAACUAUAACCUCUCAAUUCACAAAAUGAUUCCAAGAACCCUAGAAGCUAAAACAUAAAUUAAAUGGCGACGAAUAGGAAUCAAGCCACUCCACCUUGGGGCUUUGAUUCCCCUCGGAGAGAGCUACAUUGUGGUGAAAACUUUGAAGUAAAAGGAUCAAGAUAAGGAAGUGGCCUAUCGGCAAGACUGUGGCUUGUCUCAUAUAUUAUUGAAGGUGACACUGAUGAAGAUGGAGAACAAAGAAAACCAGAGUGUUGAUCAGGACUUGUACACAUGGGAAGGCUUGGCAAGGCCUUUUGGUCAUGGAGAAGCUUAACACACCAUGGCCUAUCAAGAUGGGAGUUUUGGGCAACACCAAGAAUUGUGAAGAAACAUGGAGAAUCACAAAGAUGUGAUGGCUUGUGAAUGAAGAAAAAAUAGGAUAGGUGUUAGGAUGGUUAGUUCACUUUGGUCAUCUGUUGACCAAAAAGUCAAAAGUUGACCAAAAGUCAACUCUAGGCCAUGUAAUUUUGUAUGUAAACUUGAUUUUAGACUUCUUUUGUAAAGAAAUGGAUACUUGAAAUGAAUUGUGACUUGUAUUCCAAGAAAGUACUUUCUCCCUCCAA